AAAUGAUGACAUCAUCCAAACAGAUGAAAUUACUGGCAAAUCACGUCGUUGUCAAUGAGUGGUUUUCUGAAG
This is a small nucleolar RNA of Nycticebus coucang (slow loris), 72 nucleotides long. The record is from RefSeq and is a predicted model, not a curated record. Lineage: Eukaryota; Metazoa; Chordata; Mammalia; Primates; Lorisidae.